UGAACGCUGGCGGUAUGCCUUACACAUGCAAGUCGUACGAGAGUUUUUAACUCAAGUGGCGGACGGGUGAGUAACACGUAAGAAUUUGCCUUUAGGAGGGGGAUAACAACUGGAAACGGUUGCUAAUACCCCAUAUGCUUUCGAGUGAAAUGAAUUUAUUCGCCUAGAGAGAAGCUUGCGGCUGAUUAGCUUGUUGGUGAGGUAAUGGCUCACCAAGGCGACGAUCAGUAUCUGGUUUGAGAGGAUGAUCAGACACACUGGAACUGAGACACGGUCCAGACUCCUACGGGAGGCAGCAGUGGGGAAUUUUCCGCAAUGGGCGAAAGCCUGACGGAGCAAUACCGCGUGAGGGAUGACGGCCUAUGGGUUGUAAACCUCUUUUUUCAGGGAGGAAUCAAUGACGUGUACCUGAAGAAUAAGCAUCGGCUAACUCC
RNAcentral lists this ribosomal RNA (434 nucleotides) under uncultured bacterium. Its description in RNAcentral is "bacterial SSU rRNA". It matches the Rfam family "Bacterial small subunit ribosomal RNA", at positions 30 to 504 of the family's 1533-position model. The record is from RNAcentral.